CCUACGGGAGGCUGCAGUGAGGAAUAUUGGUCAAUGGGCGAGAGCCUGAACCAGCCAAGUCGCGUGAAGGAUGACGGCCCUACGGGUUGUAAACUUCUUUUGUCAGGGAGCAAUUUAGUCCACGUGUGGGCUUAGCGAGAGCACCUGAAGAAAAAGCCGCGGCAAACUCCGUGCCAGCAGCCGCGGUAAUAAGGAGGAUGCGAGCGUUAUCCGGAUUGAUUGGGUUGAAAGGGUGCGUAGGCGGAAUAUCAAGUCAGCGGUAAAACUUCGGGGCUCAACCCCGUCGUGCCGUUGAAACUGAUGUUCUUGAGUGGGCGAGAGGUAUGCGGAAUGCGUGGUGUAGCGGUGAAAUGCAUAGAUAUCACGCAGAACUCCGAUUGCGAAGGCAGCAUACCGGAGCCCAACUGACGCUGAGGCACGAAAGCGUGGGUAUCGAACAGGAUUAGAUACCCGUGUAGUC
RNAcentral lists this ribosomal RNA (460 nucleotides) under uncultured bacterium. RNAcentral's name for it is "partial 16S ribosomal RNA". It matches the Rfam family "Bacterial small subunit ribosomal RNA", at positions 338 to 795 of the family's 1533-position model. The record is from RNAcentral.